GAAUAUGUCGUGAUUCAAGAGAAUAUUCAGUUGUAUUCUUGCAAGAAAUAAAUUUUAUUUUUUUUCAGUAAUGUAUGAAAGAUCUUUUGGAACGCAUUUAUUGCAAGGAAAAAAUUGGAAUUGUACAAAACUCAUCAGUCGAUCAGAUGAAUUUAUUGAACCUAAUAUUUACAACCAGUAUGACAUAAAAUAUAGCAAGCCAACAACAAUAUAAAAAAGUACCGUCUUUAUAAAUGUGUCCGAUAAAUUGUCAUCAUCCAUCUUUAUGUUGUCUUUUUUUCAGCGGCGCAAGUUGUCUUUCUUUUUGUUCUUACACUCGUCUCUCUGAGAUGACAGUCGUUCGAUCCCUCUCUCCGGAAGCGGAUCGGUCGUCGCGCGACCACCGGAUCAGGUAGCGGCUGGCCAUCUGAAGGUUCCACUGGUACCUGGAGAGGAUCCUUAGGCAGUCCUCUCGGGAACAAAGACUCAGUGAGUACAGCUGCUCCAACUGGUGUUCCCCAGUUACGAUCCGGAUGGAUGUCCCCGUGACCAGUGUGCUGCAGACUCCCCUUCACCGGAGCGUCUCCGGGGUAACCGUGUGUGGGGAGGCGGGGCCGGCGGACCGACGGCGCCCGCUCCAAGAUGGCGGCGAGGAGGUGUGAACGAGGGAGCGGCAAGGUAGGGCGCGCUGGGAGCGACGCCGCAAUCAGCAUAAGGUGCGUGUAGCGCGCAGCUGAGGACAGUGCAAUCACCCUCUCGGACCGUGUAAGAGGGCGAGAGAUGUGAACAUCAAGAGAGAGACACGGAGAAAGACGGCGGACAGGAGGAAACCAUCCUCUGCUACCACGCGAACGACGGCGACGUGCUUGGAAGCAGACGGCGGACGGAAGGAAACCAUUCCUGU
Molecule: long non-coding RNA, 883 nt
Organism: Entelurus aequoreus (snake pipefish)
Lineage: Eukaryota; Metazoa; Chordata; Actinopteri; Syngnathiformes; Syngnathidae
Exons: 3
Source: RefSeq, a predicted model, not a curated record